This 325-nucleotide unclassified non-coding RNA is filed under the name uncultured fungus. RNAcentral describes it as "partial contains 5.8S ribosomal RNA and internal transcribed spacer 2". The stretch from base 1 to 133 matches the Rfam family "5.8S ribosomal RNA", at positions 22 to 154 of the family's 154-position model. The record is from RNAcentral. Lineage: Eukaryota; Fungi.
UGGUUCUGGCAUCGAUGAAGAACGCAGCGAAAUGCGAUAAGUAAUGUGAAUUGCAGAAUUCAGUGAAUCAUCGAAUUUUUGAACGCAUAUUGCGCCCUCUGGUAUUCCGGAGGGCAUGCCUGUUCGAGCGUCAUCAGUACCCUCAAGCCUAGCUUGGUAUUGGGCCUCUGUCCAUUGGAUGGGCCCGAAAAUCAGUGGUGACUGGCCCUCAUGGCUUCAAGUAUAGUAGAAUUUCUUCAACUUGCCAAGCUCUAGGGGACGGUUUUAACCAUCAAACCUCCAUGAUAAAAAAGUUGACCUCGGAUCAGGUAGGGAUACCCGCUGA